RNAcentral lists this ribosomal RNA (468 nucleotides) under uncultured bacterium. RNAcentral's name for it is "partial 16S ribosomal RNA". It matches the Rfam family "Bacterial small subunit ribosomal RNA", at positions 28 to 507 of the family's 1533-position model. The record is from RNAcentral.
GACGAACGCUGGCGGUGUGCUUAACACAUGCAAGUCGAACGGUAAGGCCCUUUCGGGGGUCCACGAGUGGCGAACGGGUGAGUAACACGUGAGUAACCUGCCCUCAUCUCUGGGAUAACAGUCGGAAACGGUUGCUAAUACUGGAUAUGAGCUUGCAAGGCAUCUUGUGGGUUGGAAAGAUUUUUUUUGGUUGGGGAUGGACUCGCGGCCUAUCAGCUUGUUGGUGAGGUAGUGGCUCACCAAGGCUUCGACGGGUAGCCGGCCUGAGAGGGCGAACGGCCACAAUGGGGCCGGGAUACGGCCCAAACUCCUACGGGAGGCAGCAGUGGGGAAUAUUGCACAAUGGACGGAAGUCUGAUGCAGCAACGCCGCGUGCGGGAUGACGGCCUUCGGGUUGUAAACCGCUUUCAAUUGUGACGAAGCUUUUUUGUGACGGUAGCAGUAGAAGAAGCACCGGCUAACUACGUG